This 620-nucleotide ribosomal RNA is filed under the name Metabacillus idriensis. Its description in RNAcentral is "bacterial SSU rRNA". It matches the Rfam family "Bacterial small subunit ribosomal RNA", at positions 74 to 684 of the family's 1533-position model. RNAcentral also lists the same sequence under 1 other name. The record is from RNAcentral. Lineage: Bacteria; Bacillati; Bacillota; Bacilli; Caryophanales; Bacillaceae.
CUUGCUCCAGCAGGUCAGCGGCGGACGGGUGAGUAACACGUGGGCAACCUGCCUGUAAGACUGGGAUAACUCCGGGAAACCGGAGCUAAUACCGGAUAGUAUCUUGAACCGCAUGGUUCAAGUUGGAAAGACGGUUUCGGCUGUCACUUACAGAUGGGCCCGCGGCGCAUUAGCUAGUUGGUGAGGUAAUGGCUCACCAAGGCAACGAUGCGUAGCCGACCUGAGAGGGUGAUCGGCCACACUGGGACUGAGACACGGCCCAGACUCCUACGGGAGGCAGCAGUAGGGAAUCUUCCGCAAUGGACGAAAGUCUGACGGAGCAACGCCGCGUGAGUGAUGAAGGUUUUCGGAUCGUAAAACUCUGUUGUUAGGGAAGAACAAGUGCGAGAGUAACUGCUCGCACCUUGACGGUACCUAACCAGAAAGCCACGGCUAACUACGUGCCAGCAGCCGCGGUAAUACGUAGGUGGCAAGCGUUGUCCGGAAUUAUUGGGCGUAAAGCGCGCGCAGGCGGUUUCUUAAGUCUGAUGUGAAAGCCCCCGGCUCAACCGGGGAGGGUCAUUGGAAACUGGGAAACUUGAGUGCAGAAGAGGAGAGUGGAAUUCCACGUGUAGCGGUGA